CGCUGGCGGCGUGCUUAACACAUGCAAGUCGAACGAUGAACCCGGAGCUUGCUCUGGGGGAUUAGUGGCGAACGGGUGAGUAACACGUGAGUAACCUGCCCUGGACUCUGGGAUAAGCGUUGGAAACGACGUCUAAUACCGGAUAGGACCCUGGAUCGCAUGAUCUGGGGUGGAAAGUUUUUCGGUCUGGGAUGGACUCGCGGCCUAUCAGCUUGUUGGUGAGGUAAUGGCUCACCAAGGCGUCGACGGGUAGCCGGCCUGAGAGGGUGACCGGCCACACUGGGACUGAGACACGGCCCAGACUCCUACGGGAGGCAGCAGUGGGGAAUAUUGCACAAUGGGCGCAAGCCUGAUGCAGCAACGCCGCGUGCGGGAUGACGGCCUUCGGGUUGUAAACCGCUUUUAGUAGGGAAGAAGGGCUUCGGCUUGACGGUACCUGCAGAAAAAGGACCGGCU
This 456-nucleotide ribosomal RNA is filed under the name uncultured bacterium. RNAcentral describes it as "bacterial SSU rRNA". It matches the Rfam family "Bacterial small subunit ribosomal RNA", at positions 34 to 498 of the family's 1533-position model. The record is from RNAcentral.